Molecule: ribosomal RNA, 916 nt
Filed under: uncultured Sphingobacteriales bacterium
Lineage: Bacteria; Pseudomonadati; Bacteroidota; Sphingobacteriia; Sphingobacteriales
Description: bacterial SSU rRNA
Rfam family: Bacterial small subunit ribosomal RNA
Source: RNAcentral
AGAGUUUGAUCCUGGCUCAGGAUGAACGCUAGCGGCAGGCUUAAUACAUGCAAGUCGUGGGGCAGCGAGGGUAGCAAUACCUGUCGGCGACCGGCAAACGGGUGCGGAACACGUACGCAACCUUCCUUUAAGUGGGGGAUAGCCCAGGGAAACUUGGAUUAAUACCCCUUAACAUUAUGGUGUGGCAUCACAUUAUAAUUAAAGCUACGGCGCUUAAAGAUGGGCGUGCGGCUGAUUAGGUAAUUGGCGGGGUAAAGGCCCACCAAGCCUACGAUCAGUAACUGGUGUGAGAGCACGACCAGUCACACGGGCACUGAGACACGGGCCCGACUCCUACGGGAGGCAGCAGUAAGGAAUAUUGGUCAAUGGACGCAAGUCUGAAUCAGCCAUGCCGCGUGGAGGAUGAAGGCCCUCUGGGUUGUAAACUUCUUUUAUUUGGGAAGAAACCCAUCUUUUCUAAGGUGGUUGACGGUACCAGAUGAAUAAGCACCGGCUAACUCCGUGCCAGCAGCCGCGGUAAUACGGAGGGUGCAAGCGUUAUCCGGAUUCACUGGGUUUAAAGGGUGCGUAGGUGGGCAGGUAAGUCAGUGGUGAAAUCUCCGAGCUUAACUCGGAAACUGCCGUUGAUACUAUCUGUCUUGAAUAUCGUGGAGGUGAGCGGAAUAUGUCAUGUAGCGGUGAAAUGCUUAGAUAUGACAUAGAACACCCAUUGCGAAGGCAGCUCGCUACACGGUUAUUGACACUGAGGCACGAAAGCGUGGGGAUCAAACAGGAUUAGAUACCCUGGUAGUCCACGCCCUAAACGAUGGAUACUCGACAUAUGCGAUACACAGUAUGUGUCUGAGCGAAAGCAUUAAGUAUCCCACCUGGGAAGUACGACCGCAAGGUUGAAACUCAAAGGAAUUGACGGACCCCC